GAUGCUGCUAAGGUGCUAAGGUUUUGUCUUGAUCUUGAUUCGUUUGUGGUCGGUGGGUUUGUUUCGAUCCCAAGUCUUCGGUGUUGGUCGAUCACGCUCAUUUUUUUCUGAUUUCUUGCGUGCGAUCUUCGUUUUCAGAUCGGAUGUGCUUUAAUUCGUCUGAUUCGGGUUCUUGUCCAGGAUUCGAGAUCCAGGAUUCAAUCGAACAGUUUGAUUUGUUUGUACUCGUUCUCUCGUGUUGAAUGUGUUGAUCGGCCCUCUUUUUUGCAUCACAACCGGACUAUUAUCAUGAAUCAUAAACUUCAUUCCUCUGUUGCUUUCUAUGUCGCAGGGAUUUGGCAAUCUCUUCGAGCGCAAGGAACAUUUCAUGAACAAACUCUUUCGGAGGAAAGAGAAGAAGAUAAAGAAUAGUUUGGGAUUAACCAAAUAAUUCCUCGGUGUUGAUUUCAAGGUUGUGAUCUGAUUACACCAAAGAUCUGCAGCAUCAAGACCAUUUCGUGAUUGCUGGAGUACCUUGUGGUUCAAGAAAUCGAUUCAAGAAGUUGCCCGAGGUGCGAUAACUUGAUGGUUGAAGUUGGCAGCCAAGAAACGGGACGAUCCAUCCCGGCGGAACUUGGUCGAUGAAUCAAGUAUCAAGAAACCGAACGAUCGGUCUCAAGAAUGAAAUCUCGGCUCCAACCCAUCAAAGAAAAUUCGGUCGAUGCGAUCGCGUCAUUAACCCAGUUUUGUCUACGAGGAGAACAACAUUGAGCGGAGAACGGGCGUCUCUUUUGGUUAAUGCGUGUCGCGCGCCUGUCUUUUUUUACUUCAUGUACACUGACAUAUAGGGAAUAUUUGCUCUCAUCCGCGACAAAAAACCGUUAUGGUAGCCACAUCAGUUGGGAGGCUUUCUUCAUCAUCACAUUGCAAGUUGUCGUUAUCAAGGACAACAUUAGUUCGCACAGUUUGGGCAUGGAUCAGCUUGCGCUGAUCAUCCA
This is a non-coding RNA of Musa acuminata subsp. malaccensis (wild Malaysian banana), 977 nucleotides long. NCBI's taxonomy places the organism in Eukaryota, Viridiplantae, Streptophyta, Magnoliopsida, Zingiberales, Musaceae. The record is from RefSeq and is a predicted model, not a curated record.